Molecule: ribosomal RNA, 783 nt
Filed under: uncultured bacterium
Lineage: Bacteria
Description: bacterial SSU rRNA
Rfam family: Bacterial small subunit ribosomal RNA
Source: RNAcentral
AGAGUUUGAUCAUGGCUCAGAAUCAACGCUGGCGGCGUGCCUAACACAUGCAAGUCGAGCGAGAAAAGGGGGGGCAACUCCCUGAGUACAGCGGCGCACGGGUGAGUAACACGUGGGUAAUCUGCCCUGGAGUGGGGAAUAACACCGGGAAACCGGUGCUAAUACCGCAUACGAUAACGAGGUCUGCGGACUUUGUUAUGAAAGGAGCAAUUCGCUCCAGGAGGAGCCCGCGGCUGAUUAGCUAGUUGGUGAGGUAAUGGCUCACCAAGGCUACGAUCAGUAUCCGGUCUGAGAGGACGGUCGGACACACUGGAACUGAGACACGGUCCAGACUCCUACGGGAGGCAGCAGUGGGGAAUUUUUGGCAAUGGGGGCAACCCUGACCAAGCAACGCCGCGUGGGUGAUGAAGUCUCUUGGGACGUAAAACCCUUUCGACGGGGAAGAAAACCGCAAGGUUUGACGGUACCCGUAGAAGAAGCCCCGGCUAACUCCGUGCCAGCAGCCGCGGUAAUACGGGGGGGGCAAGCGUUGUUCGGAAUUACUGGGCGUAAAGGGCGCAUAGGCGGUUUGUUAAGUUGAAUGUGAAAACUCUGGGCUUAACCCAGAGCCUGCAUUCAAUACGGGCAGGCUAGAGUUCUGGAGGGGAUAGCGGAAUUCCUGGUGUAGCGGAAAUGCGUAGAUAUCAGGAGGAACACCGGUGGCGAAGGCGGCUAUCUGGACAGAGUCUGACGCUGAGGCGCGAAAGCUAGGGGAGCAAACAGGAUUAGAUACCCUAGUAGUCC